AUGGAUAUGCUGGUUCCUCGGGUAACAUUUAAAAUAUCUUUCUCAUUGUUCAUGAGUUCAGUUUAGUCAAUAAUUAUUACCCACAACUAAGAUCCUUAGCUUCUAGCAACCUCCAUGGACGCUCGAAAGCAAGAUGGUCUCUUUGAGAUUAAAAAUAAAAUCGUUGAUGUUAGCAUAAAAUUUGUGUACUAAACUACUAAUAUAUAACAUGAAAAGUUCAUUCUGAUUUAAAGUAGUGCCAAAGUAAUGGGAAUUUUGAUAAUAUCAUAUUGCAGAGUUCUGAAAUUAUAUUAUAAGAUUUUCUUCCAAUAUACUUGAUCCCACUUGUCCAUCCCAUUUUAAUUUUUAGUGAGAGAAAUAUGAAAUCAUUUGGGUGUAAAUUGGGGAAAAUCAACAAAUGACACAAAAACUGGUUUUAACAAAUGUGGUCUCAAAUGCAACUGCCUUGUAUAAGAAUGUUUUCAUUUUUCUUUUUGUUUGUUAGGUUGGGGAGCUUAUUGGUGGAA
This 506-nucleotide unclassified non-coding RNA is filed under the name Hevea brasiliensis (rubber tree). Lineage: Eukaryota; Viridiplantae; Streptophyta; Magnoliopsida; Malpighiales; Euphorbiaceae. The record is from RNAcentral.